Girardinichthys multiradiatus is the source of this 1061-nucleotide long non-coding RNA. RefSeq lists it as uncharacterized. The record is from RefSeq and is a predicted model, not a curated record. Lineage: Eukaryota; Metazoa; Chordata; Actinopteri; Cyprinodontiformes; Goodeidae. The transcript is spliced from 3 exons.
CGAUUACAACAAUAAAAACAAUGCCACUAUAUUUAAUACAGUGUAUUUGUAUAUUAAAAAAACAUUAAUCCCCAAAAUUGGAAGUUGUGAAAAAUGAUCAUAGACCUUUAGGACUGACCCUGUCCUAAAUUAUGUCUAGCUUAAUUACCCAUUUAUUUAAACAAAUUAGUAUUGUCUCUCACUAUCACUCUAUAUCACUAUUGACAGUAGAGUGUGGUAUGGUAGCCUAAAUGUGAUAAGUCUAUGUCUGUUAGAGCCCUCUCCUGGGCUAAUACCACUGGCUGAUGGAUAUAUCUAAACAGAAAUGUGUAACGCUCAGCACUUUCAGCAAGUUUCUUAUAAACAUACCACACACACUCAUCAUUACUGUCGGGGUUUGGGUUGUCGUUUUGUGUACAUUGUGCUUGCAACAUUGUGUUCAGUUUCCCAGAUGGUGCUGGAGUUCUCAGGUGCGCUGGGGGACAGGUGCGUCUUAUUCUGCUGAUUGCAUGAGGAGUAUUUAAGCAGGAGGCUGCCAGGACUUCGACGCGAGAGUGUUUGACUACAGUGGCUGAAACCCUGGUUCUUGGAUUUACCUCGCUGAACACAGACUUCAGUCUCAGAAGUUCUGUGGGUUAAGACUUCCUACGUUUUUGAGGACUUUGUUUCCUGAACUACUGACUUCAACUGGAUUUUGCUCUGGCUGGCAGCCUUCCUGAUUCUUCUGUUUCUUGGAUCAAGACAUUAAGCGUACCCUGUCCACCUUCCAACGUAAGCAUCUGCAUAUUGGAUAACUACAUGGUUUUUCCAGUCUCCCUCAAACAGCACCAGAGGAAACAACAGAACGAACUCUGCUCUGUAAACCGAGACCCAGAAUCCCUCAACCCCUGGCGACCUGACUGCAUCUACUUAUUGGAGAUUCACUCGUUCAUGUUCCUGAUUACUUGUUGCACAAUAAAACAUUAUUUUACUGAUUUUUGUUCUCCGGAGUGUACUUCUGUAUGUGGGUCAGAUCAAUUCCAAAAACAAUGACAAUUACAUAAAAACUUUUCAUACUUUUCCUACCUCAUGUUGCACACUAC